This 29-nucleotide non-coding RNA is filed under the name Homo sapiens (human). The record is from RNAcentral. Lineage: Eukaryota; Metazoa; Chordata; Mammalia; Primates; Hominidae.
UGGCCCUUCAGUCUAACCAGUGAAGCUGC